This is a long non-coding RNA of Hypanus sabinus (Atlantic stingray), 1060 nucleotides long. RefSeq lists it as uncharacterized. The record is from RefSeq and is a predicted model, not a curated record. Lineage: Eukaryota; Metazoa; Chordata; Chondrichthyes; Myliobatiformes; Dasyatidae. The transcript has 5 exons.
UGUACGGGAUACAGCCGCACCUGGAGCACUGCAUGCAGCUCUGGUCUCCUUGCUUGAAAAAAGAUAUACUAACUUUGAAGGUAAUGCAAAGGAAGUUCGCCAGGUCGAUUCUGGAUAUGAGCCUAUGAGGGCAGGUAUCCUGGCAUGGAGCUGUCUCCAAAAGUAGGAGAGUCCAGGACAAACUCGGAAUAGAAGGGCGUCCUUUUAGAACGGAGAUGAGGAGGCAUUUCUUCAGGCAAAUGGUGGUGGACCUGCGGAAUUCUUUGCCGUAUCAGCUGAAGAAGCCAAUUCUUUAGGGAGAAUAAAACUACAGCUGUGAGGAUGCCUGCAGCACUGUGAUCUCUGUCUCGGAGGCCAUCGUCAGGCUGUCUUUCAAGAGGGUGAACCUUCGCAAGAAGACAGGCCUCGAUGGAGUCCCUGCAGGAGAGGAAGAGAAAAGACUUUGGAAAGAACUGAUUUGGGAUUUGGCCCGGCGCAGAACCGUGAUUCGAUGGAGUAAGAAUCCCGGGAAGACUUGAGUUCCAAAUUGUUGCCAAUGACACAGUUCCAGACAGGAGAAAAUCUGCAGAUGCUGGAAAUCCGAGCAACGCACACAAAACGCUGGAGGAACUCAGCAGGCCAGGCAGCAGCUAUGGAAAAAAGCACAGUUGACAUUUUAGACUGAGGGGGUCCUGCCUGUGGUGAACUAUGUGCCUGUCUGGAAACACCCACUGCUGACUGCUCUUGUGGCUCCUCCCACAGACCCCUGUAUAAAGGUGAUCGAGGCCUGAGCCCGGCCUCUCAGUCUCCAGGAUGUAGUAUGGUGGUCACUCACUGCUUGUUCCUUCUUCCAGUCAAUAAAAGCCGAUACCUCGCCUUUACGUCUCGGAGUGAGUUAUUGAUGGUGCAUCACUGCCGAAGGGUCUCGGCCUGAAACGUUGACUGUACUCUUUUCCGUAGACAUUGCCUGGCCUGCUGAGUUCCUCCAGCAUUUUGUGAAGGAAGCAGUUCCUUUGCAUUUCACAGCUGGAACACCAACUUUAUUGUAUUCUCUCACACACACACAACCACCCGUCUACAA